This is a non-coding RNA of Neogale vison (American mink), 1569 nucleotides long. The record is from Ensembl. Lineage: Eukaryota; Metazoa; Chordata; Mammalia; Carnivora; Mustelidae.
AACCAAAACUAGCCCAACUUACCCACAACACAAUUACCAUAAUACCAUAAAUCAAAACAUUUAAUCACAUUAUUACAGUAUAGGUGAUAGAAAUUCUACUUGGAGCUAUAGAGAAAGUACCGCAAGGGAAUGAUGAAAGAAAUAUUUAAAGUAAAAAACAGCAAAGAUUACCCCUUAUACCUUUUGCAUAAUGAAUUAGCUAGAACAAUUUAGCAAAGAGACCUUAAGCUAAAUACCCCGAAACCAGACGAGCUACCUGUGAACAAUCCACAGGGGUGCACUCAUCUAUGUUGCAAAAUAGUGAGAAGAUUUACAGGUAGAGGUGAAAAGCCUAACGAGCCUGGUGAUAGCUGGUUGCCCAGAACAGAAUCUCAGUUCAACUUUAAAUUUACCCAAUAAACAUCAAAUUGUAAUGUAAAUUUAAAAUAUAGUCUAAAAAGGUACAGCUUUUUAGAACAAGGAUACAACCUUGCUUAGAGAGUAAAAUCAAAUAAAACCAUAGUAGGCCUAAGAGCAGCCACCAAUUAAGAAAGCGUUCAAGCUCAACAAUAUACCCCCCUUAAUCCCCACAAUCCAAAAUAACUCCUAAUAUACUACUGGGCUAAUCUAUUUAAUAAUAGAAGCAAUAAUGCUAAUAUGAGUAACAAGAAAUACUUCUCCUUGCAUAAGCUUAUACCUGCUAACGAAUGCUCACUGAUAGUUAACAACACGAUAAAAUAAACCACUAAUAAACACACCUAUCAAACCAAUUGUUAAUCCAACACAGGCAUGCAGUAAGGAAAGAUUAAAAGAAGUAAAAGGAACUCGGCAAACUCAAACCCCGCCUGUUUACCAAAAACAUCACCUCCAGCAUAUCUAGUAUUGGAGGCACUGCCUGCCCAGUGACAUUAGUUUAACGGCCGCGGUAUCCUGACCGUGCAAAGGUAGCAUAAUCAUUUGUUCUCUAAAUAGGGACUUGUAUGAAUGGCCACACGAGGGUUUAACUGUCUCUUACUUCCAAUCAGUGAAAUUGACCUUUCCGUGAAGAGGCGGGAAUACACAAAUAAGACGAGAAGACCCUAUGGAGCUUUAAUUAACUAACCCAUAAUAAUUUAUAAACUCACCUACCAGGUCUAACACAACAUUAUUACUGGGUUAACAAUUUAGGUUGGGGUGACCUCGGAGAAUAAAACAACCUCCGAGUGAUUAAAUCACAGACAAACCAGUCGAAGCAUUUUAUCAUUUAUUGAUCCAAUAUCUUGAUCAACGGAACAAGUUACCCUAGGGAUAACAGCGCAAUCCUAUUUGAGAGUCCAUAUCAACAAUAGGGUUUACGACCUCGAUGUUGGAUCAGGACAUCCUAAUGGUGCAGCAGCUAUUAAGGGUUCGUUUGUUCAACGAUUAAAGUCCUACGUGAUCUGAGUUCAGACCGGAGUAAUCCAGGUCGGUUUCUAUCUAUUAUAACAACUUCUCCCAGUACGAAAGGACAAGAGAAGUAAGGCCAAUUCUACCGGAAAGCCUUAGGACUAAUAGAUGAUAUAAUCUUAAUCUAACCAGUCCACUCCCCAUAUGACCCUAGAAAUAGGGUUU